AUUGAACGCUGGCGGCAUGCCUUACACAUGCAAGUCGAACGGUAACAGGUCUUCGGAUGCUGACGAGUGGCGAACGGGUGAGUAAUACAUCGGAACGUGCCCGAUCGUGGGGGAUAACGGAGCGAAAGCUUUGCUAAUACCGCAUACGAUCUACGGAUGAAAGCAGGGGACCGCAAGGCCUUGCGCGGACGGAGCGGCCGAUGGCAGAUUAGGUAGUUGGUGGGAUAAAAGCUUACCAAGCCGACGAUCUGUAGCUGGUCUGAGAGGACGACCAGCCACACUGGGACUGAGACACGGCCCAGACUCCUACGGGAGGCAGCAGUGGGGAAUUUUGGACAAUGGGCGAAAGCCUGAUCCAUCCAUGCCGCGUGCAGGAUGAAGGCCUUCGGGUUGUAAACUGCUUUUGUACGGAACGAAAAGACUCUUUCUAAUAAAGAGGGUCCAUGACGGUACCGUAAGAAUAAGCACCGGCUAACUACGUG
Molecule: ribosomal RNA, 482 nt
Filed under: uncultured bacterium
Lineage: Bacteria
Description: partial 16S ribosomal RNA
Rfam family: Bacterial small subunit ribosomal RNA
Source: RNAcentral